Molecule: ribosomal RNA, 425 nt
Filed under: uncultured soil bacterium
Lineage: Bacteria
Description: bacterial SSU rRNA
Rfam family: Bacterial small subunit ribosomal RNA
Source: RNAcentral
AGGACGAACGCUGGCGGCGCGCUUAACACAUGCAAGUCGAGCGGUAAGGCCUUUCGGGGUACACGAGCGGCGAACGGGUGAGUAACACGUGGGUGAUCUGCCCUGCACUUCGGGAUAAGCCUGGGAAACUGGGUCUAAUACCGGAUAUGACCUCAGGUUGCAUGACUUGGGGUGGAAAGAUUUAUCGGUGCAGGAUGGGCCCGCGGCCUAUCAGCUUGUUGGUGGGGUAAUGGCCUACCAAGGCGACGGACGGGUAGCCGACCUGAGAGGGUCGACCGGCCACACGUGGGACUGAGACGACGGCCCAGACUCCGUACGGGACGGCGAGCGAGGUAGGGGAAUAGUUGACGACGAAGUGGGACGAAAGCCUAGAUGACAGCGACGGCCGCGGUGGAAGGAGUACGGACCGGGUCCGUUUCGGGUUA